RNAcentral lists this ribosomal RNA (480 nucleotides) under uncultured bacterium. Its description in RNAcentral is "bacterial SSU rRNA". It matches the Rfam family "Bacterial small subunit ribosomal RNA", at positions 28 to 518 of the family's 1533-position model. The record is from RNAcentral.
GACGAACGCUGGCGGCGCGCCUAACACAUGCAAGUCGAACGAGCGAGAGAGAGCUUGCUUUCUCAAGCGAGUGGCGAACGGGUGAGUAACGCGUGAGGAACCUGCCUCAAAGAGGGGGACAACAGUUGGAAACGACUGCUAAUACCGCAUAAGCCCACGACCCGGCAUCGGGUAGAGGGAAAAGGAGCAAUCCGCUUUGAGAUGGCCUCGCGUCCGAUUAGCUAGUUGGUGAGGUAAUGGCCCACCAAGGCGACGAUCGGUAGCCGGACUGAGAGGUUGAACGGCCACAUUGGGACUGAGAGACGGUCCAGACUCCUACGGGAGGCAGCAGUGGGGAAUAUUGGGCAAUGGGCGAAAGCCUGACCCAGCAACGCCGCGUGAGGGAAGAAGGGUUUCGGCUCGUAAACCUCUGUCCUAUGGGACGAAGGAAGUGACGGUACCAUAGGAGGAAGCCCCGGCUAACUACGUGCCAGCAGCCGC